Molecule: ribosomal RNA, 490 nt
Filed under: uncultured bacterium
Lineage: Bacteria
Description: partial 16S ribosomal RNA
Rfam family: Bacterial small subunit ribosomal RNA
Source: RNAcentral
AUUGAACGCUGGCGGCAGGCCUAACACAUGCAAGUCGAACGGUAACAGGAAGCAGCUUGCUGCUUUGCUGACGAGUGGCGGACGGGUGAGUAAUGUCUGGGAAACUGCCUGAUGGAGGGGGAUAACUACUGGAAACGGUAGCUAAUACCGCAUAACGUCGCAAGACCAAAGAGUGGGACCUUCGGGCCUCUUGCCAUCGGAUGUGCCCAGAUGGGAUUAGCUAGUAGGUGGGGUAACGGCUCACCUAGGCGACGAUCCCUAGCUGGUCUGAGAGGAUGACCAGCCACACUGGAACUGAGACACGGUCCAGACUCCUACGGGAGGCAGCAGUGGGGAAUAUUGCACAAUGGGCGCAAGCCUGAUGCAGCCAUGCCGCGUGUAUGAAGAAGGCCUUCGGGUUGUAAAGUACUUUCAGCGGGGAGGAAGGGAGUAAAGUUAAUACCUUUGCUCAUUGACGUUACCCGCAGAAGAAGCACCGGCUAACUCCGUG